AGUGAACGCUGGCGGUAGGCCUAACACAUGCAAGUCGAACGGCAGCACAGUAAGAGCUUGCUCUUACGGGUGGCGAGUGGCGGACGGGUGAGGAAUACAUCGGAAUCUACUUUUUCGUGGGGGAUAACGUAGGGAAACUUACGCUAAUACCGCAUACGACCUACGGGUGAAAGCAGGGGAUCUUCGGACCUUGCGCGAUUGAAUGAGCCGAUGUCGGAUUAGCUAGUUGGCGGGGUAAAGGCCCACCAAGGCGACCAUCCGUAGCUGGUCUGGGGGGAUGAUCAGCCACACUGGAACUUAGACACGGUCCAGACUCCUACGGGAGGCAGCAGUGGGGAAUAAUGGACAAUGGGCGCAAGCCUGAUCCAGCCAUACCGCGUGGGUGAAGAAGGCCUUCGGGUUGUAAAGCCCUUUUGUUGGGAAAGAAAAGCAGCAGGUUAAUACCCCGCUGUUCUGACGGUACCCAAAGAAUAAGCACCGGCUAACUUCGUG
This 492-nucleotide ribosomal RNA is filed under the name uncultured bacterium. RNAcentral's name for it is "partial 16S ribosomal RNA". It matches the Rfam family "Bacterial small subunit ribosomal RNA", at positions 29 to 507 of the family's 1533-position model. The record is from RNAcentral.